RNAcentral lists this ribosomal RNA (497 nucleotides) under uncultured bacterium. Its description in RNAcentral is "partial 16S ribosomal RNA". It matches the Rfam family "Bacterial small subunit ribosomal RNA", at positions 28 to 507 of the family's 1533-position model. The record is from RNAcentral.
GAUGAACGCUGGCGGCGUGCCUAAUACAUGCAAGUCGAGCGAACAGACGAGGAGCUUGUUCCUCUGACGUUAGCGGCGGACGGGUGAGUAACACGUGGAUAACCUACCUAUAAGACUGGGAUAACUUCGGGAAACCGGAGCUAAUACCGGAUAACAUGUUGAACCGCAUGGUUCAACAGUGAAAGACGGUCUUGCUGUCACUUAUAGAUGGAUCCGCGCCGCAUUAGCUAGUUGGUAAGGUAACGGCUUACCAAGGCAACGAUGCGUAGCCGACCUGAGAGGGUGAUCGGCCACACUGGAACUGAGACACGGUCCAGACUCCUACGGGAGGCAGCAGUAGGGAAUCUUCCGCAAUGGGCGAAAGCCUGACGGAGCAACGCCGCGUGAGUGAAGAAGGUCUUCGGAUCGUAAAACUCUGUUAUUAGGGAAGAACAAAUGUGUAAGUAACUAUGCACGUCUUGACGGUACCUAAUCAGAAAGCCACGGCUAACUACGUG